This 253-nucleotide ribosomal RNA is filed under the name uncultured bacterium. RNAcentral's name for it is "partial 16S ribosomal RNA". It matches the Rfam family "Bacterial small subunit ribosomal RNA", at positions 524 to 776 of the family's 1533-position model. The record is from RNAcentral.
GACAGAGGGUGCAAACGUUGCUCGGAAUCACUGGGCGUAAAGCGCGUGUAGGCGGUCCGGUAAGUCCGCUGUGAAAGUCGGGGGCUCAACCCUCGGAUGCCGGUGGAUACUGUCGGGCUUGAGUACGGAAGAGGCGAGUGGAAUUCCUGGUGUAGCGGUGAAAUGCGCAGAUAUCAGGAGGAACACCUAUUGCGAAGGCAGCUCGCUGGGACGUAACUGACGCUGAGACGCGAAAGCGUGGGGAGCAAACAGG